UGAUGAAGUACGUACAAGGAUAUCUUUGAGAAUGUCAAAGCUAAUACUUGACGGUUUACACCUCCUGUCGAGUCUACUCCUUUUAGGGGUAAAAUCGAUAGGGGCGGGGGAGGCUUCAUGCAUCCUCUACAUAUUACCACCAUUUUUUGAAUAAGGGUGGAUAUAUGCCAAGAGAAUUGUAGAAAUUGAAAGAUUUUCACAAGUCAUCAUUAAGAAUAUCUGACCUAUCAACCGGUUGUUGGUAAGGUAGGGGCUUACCAAGGUAAUAACGGGUAACGAGGAAUAAGGGUUCGACAUCGGAGAGGGAGCUUUAGAAAUGGCUACCACUUCUAAGGAAGGCAGCAGGCGCGAAAAUUACCCAAUCUUAACAAAUGAAGGAGGUAGUGACGACAAUUAACGCUAUCUCUCGUCUUUUGGCGA
RNAcentral lists this ribosomal RNA (420 nucleotides) under Entamoeba sp. RNAcentral describes it as "SSU rRNA". It matches the Rfam family "Eukaryotic small subunit ribosomal RNA", at positions 122 to 502 of the family's 1831-position model. Lineage: Eukaryota; Evosea; Mastigamoebida; Endamoebidae. The record is from RNAcentral.